This is a long non-coding RNA of Balaenoptera acutorostrata (minke whale), 2896 nucleotides long. RefSeq lists it as uncharacterized. NCBI's taxonomy places the organism in Eukaryota, Metazoa, Chordata, Mammalia, Artiodactyla, Balaenopteridae. The record is from RefSeq and is a predicted model, not a curated record. The transcript is spliced from 4 exons.
UUUGUUCCUGACUUCACAUUUUCUGACAUUAUGAGAUCAGAACAGGGGAAUUCUUCAUGAGAGCGCGCUGAUUCACUCUGCAGAGCAGUGCCUGACAGCACCUUCUACGGGCCAGAUGUCUCCCAGAUGUUGAGGACAGAGUGGGGAGCUAGACAGAGAAAAUCUCAGCCUCAUGGAGGCCACAUUCCAAUGAAUGUCUUUGAUUUGUGUUAACAGAGCAGAGUGACCUGUUCCUGGUGAGCAACAUUUUGCCAGAUAUGAGAAAACAUGUUUUCUACAAAGGCACCCUGGAACUCAGUGACAGAUCUUCAGGAUCGAUGUGGUCCUCUGACAGCAAAUGGAUUGUUCCAGCAGAGAUCUUUAAUGAAAUUGUUCACAUUAUUAAGGAACCACCACCUCCAGCAUAUUACAAUGACAAUGGCAGGACCUUGUGAAGACAGAAAGCAAAGCAACUUUCCUGCUCACUUCUUUUUGAAAGCACCAACCUCUAGCAGCAAAGCCUUCUUGUUAAUUAGUUGUUAAUUAUUGAGACAGCACGUGAAAUGUUUAUCAAAGAGCUGUACCACUGACAAAGAACAGAACUCAGAGCAAGAGACUGAAUUGAAGCAUAAUAAAAGGAACGAGUAAGCUUUUACACAGUUGGCUGGCACCAAGGAAAUUCUAGAAAUGUACCCCUCUGUUUGGGAAACACAUGUAAUAGGACAUAAAUGAACUACCCAAGGUCACACUUCUAGUUGGUGUCCCAAGAAUCAGUUCAGUCCAGAGAACUCAUCACUACCAGACCUUGUGGAAAGAAGCUGUUUGGAAAGCAUUGCUGGAUUAUGUCAAAUUUAUGCUGAAGCUCUAUGGAGGCCCUAUGCAGCAUGUGAGAAUUGAAAGGAAAGAUGCAGCCUAUUAUUGAGGAAAUCCUAAGUUCCCUACACUGACCGUAUCAUGUGGUGCCAGGGGUUCAGCCUCACCUGACUCAGCCAAUACUUGUCUCCUUGUCUUAUUCCUCUUCCAAGUUUUACUGCAUGGACUCAGUGGUUCUCAGACUUCAGCCUGCGUAAAGAUCACCUGGAGGACUGGUGUAAAAUGCAGAACCCAGCCUUGCUCCCAAAGAUUCUGAUUCACUAGGUCUGGGGUGGGUCCCAGGAAUCUGCAUUUUUAAGAAACAUUGUAAGAAUUUUUAUUGCAGGCAUUCUAGGACCAUGCUUGAAAAACUCUAAUCUGUCCUCGUUUUCUCACUAGGUCCCUUGGAGUGAAACAUGUCCCUGUUUCUCCGAAUUAUGGGCUUUAUCUCUCCAUCUGGGUGAUUCACUUAUGUAAUAUCGUGACUGAUGCCCCUCCUCACCCAACCUGACUCCCAGAAUUCACCUCCCCUCACCUUGCCUCUGGCAGGGAGGAUGGAGGGAACCUGGGGAAGAGCAGACCCCCGUCAGAAUCUGUCCACCGGUGGAACCUCUCUUCUAGACUCACUUGAAUUGCCUGUGAACAUUCCUUUGAAUGGUUUUGGAAAACAGUCCAGACCAUUUGGAGCCAGUUCUGGUGAAAUGAGUUUACGAUCAAGUUCGAGAAUUACUAUUCAGAAUCAAAAGCUAUGCCUAACUGUAAUACAUAUCAUGACUGACAUUUUGGCUUUAGUUAUAAAUGCAUCUAAGGUACCAGAUGGAGAGUUUCAGAAACAUUCUCUGCAAUGAGGGUGACUAUCACAGCCAGGCUGCCCCAAAAUGGACACACAGGCUGCUUACAACUUCUUUCUGUUUUAAUUGGUUGGGCAGCCAUUUUUAUUGUGGAGUCUCUCUUUUGAUUGGUUGGUACUUUACUAUAACAGUUGAUAAAUACUUGCACUACUGGAAUCAGUAUAUAAUUUUUCUCUUGAAAGACAAACUCUCUCAACUAUCUCAAUUCUGAGUGUUUUUUAAAAUUUCAGUCUCGGAAUUAGUAGUCAUACUUUGGAAGUCAUGUAAGUCAGCGGUCCCCAACAUUUUUGGCACCAGGGACCGGUUUCAUGGAAGACAAUUUUUCCACAGACUUGGUGGGGGAGAUGGUUCAGGUGGUAAUGUGAGCGAUGGGGAGCGAUGGGGAGCGGCAGAUGAAGCUUCGCUCGCUCGCCCACCGCUCACCUCCUGCUGUGCGGCCCAGUUCCUAACAGGCCUCGGACCAGUACCCGUCCGCGGCCCAGGGGUUGGGGACCCCUGAUAUAAGUCAUAUGGCUCACAUUCUAAGUAAGGGCCACACUAAGCCUGGUUAUUAUUUGUCCUAUAACAUUUAUUCCAGGCAUUAAUUCAUUAUAGACUCAAUGCAUGAAAAUCUCCAUGCUAUUGUGCUUACUGUUACAGGCAUUGUCUUCUAAACCAUGCAUAAGGCCGAUGAUUUAGACCCCAAAUACUCCGGCAAAGGAUGCCUUUAACUUCCUUGGCCACUUCCUUAGCUUGGUUUCCUACAGAUGGUACUCUGCUGAUUCAUUUCCUGAAGGGGCACUCGAGUUGAUUGUUUUAGUCUUUCGAAGAAUGUUAUAAAAUGCACAGUUUGCUUACGAUUGAGUGAUGAGGGGGUGGGCUGGGGUUACAGCUGAGAAAGAUCACUUUAGCUUAUAAUAAGAAACGUAUGAUUUAGGUUCACUGACUAGGCUGAGGAAGUAUUUAUAAAUACAGUCAGCUCCCUGUAUCUGUGGGUUCUGCAUCCUCAGAUUCAACCCACUGUGUAUCAAAAAUAUUUGGAAAAAAAUUCCACAAAGUUCCAAAAAGCAGAACUUGAAUUUGCCAUGCACCUGCAACUGUUUACAUAGCAUUUACAUUUUAUUAGGUAAUAAAAUUAUAAGUAAUAUAGAUAUGAUUAUAAGUAAUCUAGAUAUGAUUUAAAAUACACGUACUGGAGGAUAUGAAUAGGUUAUAUGCAAAUACUACACCAUUUU